UAACCUGCCCAAGAGAUCGGGAUAACACCUGGAAACAGAUGCUAAUACCGGAUAACAACAGAUGAUGCCUAUCAACUGUUUAAAAGAUGUUCUGCUAUCACUCUUGGAUGGACCUGCGGUGCAUUAGCUAGUUGGUAGGGUAACGGCCUACCAAGGCGAUGAUGCAUAGCCGAGUUGAGAGACUGAUCGGCCACAUUGGGACUGAGACACGGCCCAAACUCCUACGGGAGGCAGCAGCC
RNAcentral lists this ribosomal RNA (239 nucleotides) under uncultured Lactobacillus sp. RNAcentral's name for it is "partial 16S ribosomal RNA". It matches the Rfam family "Bacterial small subunit ribosomal RNA", at positions 122 to 355 of the family's 1533-position model. Lineage: Bacteria; Bacillati; Bacillota; Bacilli; Lactobacillales; Lactobacillaceae. The record is from RNAcentral.